UAAACAAAAAGACAUUUCCGUCUGUUUGUAAAGGAUACUAUUUCACCAGGGAACACCAUCUCAGAAUUUAACAGAUGCUUUUACCCCGCCAAUAAGGAUGUAAGAAAUCACAUUUACAGGGCACCGAGAUUUUGCCAGGUAGUUUAGAACUGUGUGCAUUGGUUUUGGAAGAAUUUGGGCUGUUUAGGCUAAAAUCCAUUAUGAUUGGACAGAAUAUGAACACACACAUCCAAUACUUCAAAGAUAUUAUGUUUGUGGAGGCAGAGAUUUUGAUUGCAUCCACUGUUUAGAAUACAUCCUUAAGGGAAGCAGACUGCCGCCUUUACCCAAUGAUAUAAUGAUUAAUCAUAACUAUAUCUGUUUUGUACCAAAUAGAAAGAGCAUUGAUUCAGGUCAUUUUCAAAUCCACUGGCAUACAUUGUACUAUACAUGCAACCUUUUCAAACUUUACAUUUAAGAUUUUAUAAAGGAAAUAUCUUAAUGUUUCACAUGUUUACCUUUCACUGUGCUAUGUAAUUCAUUAUACCUGCCAUUAUGCUAGUCUUCCUGAACAUAAUUUGUUUUCUGCAAUUUCAUUGGCCAAGGGGCUUAAUCCUGGGUUAUCAGAUUGAGCAUUUAUAUUUAGUAUCCCAUUGAUUUUGUCAGCCCUAUAUAAGGAGCUGACUCAGAUUUACUCACUCUGCUAGGUUAAAGAACUCUAAGGUUUGUACUUUUCACAUGAAUUUCGUGUUCGCCUCUUAUCUUUUACAUAGAGUAGGAAAUGAACAAAACAUUGAGUUGGGGAACUAUUUAGAUUUUACAUUAUAAUAUGUAAAUACCUUAGCAGAGUCAAUUUACUUGGUUCAGGGUAGUAUGAGAUAUUACUUUUUCAGAGUUUAAGUGUUUAGGCUAUCUCAAUGUUUCUAUAGUUAGACUUGUCCUAUGUUACUUUUAGAUGUAUGGAAGCCUUUUAGUGUUAUAACACUAUAUUUAUGCCCCCAUUCAAAGAAGAGGGGCAUAUUGGUUUGCACCUGUUGGUCGGUCGGUAGACCACAUGUUGUCCGCUUAAUAUCUUAAGAACCAUUCACUUGAUCGUAAUAUAUUUCAUAUGUGGGUUGGUUAUGAAAAGAAGAGGACCCCAAUUGUUUUUCAGGUCGAAAUGUCAAGGGUCAAUCUACUCUGGACAUAGGAAGACACUGCCUGCUCAAUAUCUUGAGAACCCUUUGCUUGACAGACAUCAAACUUGGUACACUGGUACAUCUCAAGGAGUAGAUUUGAGGUCACAUGGUCAAAAGUCAAGGGGUAAACUGGACAUAGUAAUAUAUUGUCUCUUAUGUUUUAAAAAUUAUUUGCUUGAUUGACACCAAACCUGGUACAGCAUAAGGAGUAGAUGACCCCUAUUGAUUUUUAGGUCACUUGGUCAAUCCACUCCUGACAUAGGAAGAUAUUGUUUGCUCAAUAUUUCGAAUUGAUGAUACUACUAUCAAUCAAAUUAUGCAUGUGUAUAACCCUUUUCAAUUUUGCACCAUGGGGGCUUAUAUGUUUUACAAACACCUCAUGUUUUAUAGUUUGUGAAAGCUUGUUAGGGUCAUAACUUUAGAUUUUCUUAUUAUGGUACUUGCCCGUCAGAGACUGGACAUAUUAUGGUAUGGUGUUGUCUGUCCGGACCUUGUAAGAUGGGAUACAGACUGAACCGUAAGCUCCAGAAUCUUACAACUUGGUACAUUUGAUCACCAUAAAAGGAAGAUGCUUAUUGUUUUUUAAGGUCAAGGUUGUAGGUUCACUUAAUAGGUAAACCUUGUUCGAGAAAAUUACAGAUUCUUGAACUGAGUAUUUUGAGGAAACAUUACAUAGAAAGUACAUGAUUUGUCAAAUUUCUCCCAAUAUUCAACUGAGAACCUUAUUCUGCAGAGUAUUUGUAUGGGUAUGAAAAAUGUGUAUGUGGCUAUGAUUUUGAUUUUUGUUUAAUUUUUUGUUGUUGAAAAUUACAGGUUUAACCGAGUCAGUUUUUGAGGAAAUAUACAUGUAUUAAAUAAAUGACGGUUUGACCUUUUAACUCCUCUCACAGUUUUGAAGCUAGGGUCUUUGUAAAUAACUUCUUUGGUGUUUUAGAAUAUUUACAGAUUGUUGAUCAUGGUCAAUUUUUGGGAAAUAUUUUCCGCAGAGCUCUAGUUGUCUAUCUACCGGCCUCCUGUCACUUUUAAGUUUAGGAGCUUUUAUUCAUGGAAAGAAAGUAUGUGACAGCCUGAUGAUUGCUGAUACUAUUUAAAGCCUUUUUAUACGCCUGUCUUAAGACGGGACGUAUUAUGGUAUGGCGUUCAUGUCCGCCCGUCUGUUAGCUUUUUCGUGUCCGACCCGUAACUUAAAUACUACAAGGCCUAGAAUCAAACUUUGUCUGUAGAUACAUCUUGGGUAGAAGGUGUGUCGCACAUUAAAACCAGGUCACUGUGACUUUUCAUUAAGAAUAUAUGGCAAAAACUUGUCCGACUCAUAACUUGAAAACUAUUAGACCUAGAAUCACCAAAAUUGGUCAACUAAUGCAUCUUAGGUAGAAGGUGUGUCGCAUCCUACUUUAAGGUCACUGACAUUUAAUUAAGGUGAUAUAAAAAAAAUGUUUUAAUGGGUACAAUCUAUACUUUUAACAAUAUGUGACGGGCGUAUCAUGUGCCGUGGCGGUGCACUUUAUUCUAGAAAUGGCAUCAGAAAAACACCCUAUGUAACCUUUUCUGCUUGUACUCAUUUAUUUUUAUUGGAAAACUUAUUACUUGUUAUCAGCUACUCUAAAACAAUAUUGACUUGUGCUAUAAUAAAUUUGUAAAC
This is a long non-coding RNA of Ostrea edulis (European flat oyster), 2799 nucleotides long. RefSeq lists it as uncharacterized. NCBI's taxonomy places the organism in Eukaryota, Metazoa, Mollusca, Bivalvia, Ostreida, Ostreidae. The record is from RefSeq and is a predicted model, not a curated record. The transcript has 3 exons.